This 447-nucleotide ribosomal RNA is filed under the name uncultured bacterium. RNAcentral's name for it is "partial 16S ribosomal RNA". It matches the Rfam family "Bacterial small subunit ribosomal RNA", at positions 29 to 523 of the family's 1533-position model. The record is from RNAcentral.
AGCGAACGCUGGCGGCAGGCUUAACACAUGCAAGUCGAGCGCCCCGCAAGGGGAGCGGCAGACGGGAUAGUAACACGUGGGAACGUACCUUUCAGUUCGGAACAACCAAGGGAAACUUUGGCUAAUACCGGAUACGCCCGUAAGGGGAAAGAUUUAUCGCUGAAAGAUUGGCCCGCGUCUGAUUAGCUAGUUGGUGAGGUAAUGGCUCACCAAGGCUACGAUCAGUAGCUGAUCUGAGAGGAUGAUCAGCCACAUUGGGACUGAGACACGGCCCAAACUCCUACGGGAGGCAGCAGUGGGGAAUAUUGGACAAUGGGCGCAAGCCUGAUCCAGCCAUGCCGCGUGAGUGAUGACGGCCUUCGGGUUGUAAAGCUCUUCUGUCCGGGAAGAUAAUGACUGUACCGGAAGAAUAAGCCCCGGCAAACUUCGUGCCAGCCGCCGCGGUAA